AUUGAACGCUGGCGGCAGGCCUAACACAUGCAAGUCGAGCGGACGAAGGGAGCUUGCUCCUGUAUUCAGCUGCGGACGGGUGAGUAAGUCCUAGGAAGCUACCUUGUAUUGGGGGAUAACGUCCGUUAACGGGCGCUAAUACCGCAUACGUCCUGAUGUAGAAAGUGGGGGAUCUUUGGACAUCGCGCUAUCUGAUGACCCUAGGUCGGAUUAGCUAGUUGGUGUGGUAAAGGCCUACCAAGGCGACGAUCCGUAACUGAUCUGAGAGGCUGAUCAGACACACUGGAACUGAGACACGGUCCAGACUCCUACGGGAGGCAGCAGUGGGGAAUAUUCGGCAAUGGGCGAAAGCCUGACGGAGCCAUGCCGCGUGAGUGAAGAAGGUCUUCGGAUCGUAAAGCACUGUUAGUAGGGAAGAAGAAAAGUGAAUUUAUACAUUCCUGUCUUGACGUUACCAACACAAUAAGCCACGGCUAACUUCGUG
This 484-nucleotide ribosomal RNA is filed under the name uncultured bacterium. Its description in RNAcentral is "partial 16S ribosomal RNA". It matches the Rfam family "Bacterial small subunit ribosomal RNA", at positions 30 to 507 of the family's 1533-position model. The record is from RNAcentral.